UUGGCUGAAGACCAUACCUGGGCUGGCACAGUACAUGUGAAAAAGAGAUGCUGAUCUGUCUCCUGCUGCCCACAGUAAGCACAGUUCAUAUCUAUAUGGAUAGAGAAAGUACCAGCUCUUACCGAAGUGGCAAGAGCUCUUCUAAUAAGUCUCCAAGCAAAGGUUUUGAUAUUUGGAGGGAUUAACUUACAUUUCCAGAUGCUAUGAAGAAUUUUGUUGGCUUGCUCCGAUAUGCUUCUGGGUCCUUGGUUUGGAAGCUGGUGCAUCUACAAAGAAAAUAGAUGGGAGUAUGCAGCUUUAGUGGUACAAAUUCCAUCUUUGGUUGGAGCCCACCU
RNAcentral lists this long non-coding RNA (335 nucleotides) under Sorghum bicolor (sorghum). RNAcentral's name for it is "long non-coding RNA (SBIC_LNC011682)". The record is from RNAcentral. Lineage: Eukaryota; Viridiplantae; Streptophyta; Magnoliopsida; Poales; Poaceae.